Molecule: long non-coding RNA, 1254 nt
Organism: Cyprinus carpio carpio
Lineage: Eukaryota; Metazoa; Chordata; Actinopteri; Cypriniformes; Cyprinidae
Source: Ensembl
UUUGUGUUGCAGUUUUUGAAAGUUAAUAUCAACUGGAAUAUGUAUCACACAGAUCUACUGAUUACAGCAAGUUUUGAAGUAUUAUAACUAACCCUUAUUCUGCAAUAUAUGUGAAAUAUAUUUGUGAGUAUGCAUCACAAAAAAAGUAACUGCAGUGAACAAAAAGCCAAUAUUUCCGUUUAAACCUGGGUCCUCUGUUACACUCACCUACUUCACCACAAUUAAAACACCUUCAAGUCACUGUACAAGGUACACCUGUCUAGAACAAAGCAUGGAAAAACAUGGAAUCAACAAUGUGAUGCGCUGUUUCACAGAACUUUAGCUUCAUGCUAACUGUACCUAAAUUGUACAACUCAUUUUGAAAAACUUGUCACAGAGGUGGUCAUCAAGGGAUAUACUUGGUUAUACAAGCCUAUUAAACAGAUCCAACAUACUGAAUGUCAAGACAAUGUUCACCACCAAUUGUCAAACAUGGCUAUCACCUUUAGGUCAACAGGUGUUACUGUGCACGAUUCACCAGUCUUUUAUCAUGAUCUGGCAUCAUGUUUCUCAUCGACUGAUGCCACAAAACACUCUUAUUUCUCAACCACCUGUCUGCCUUAUAGUAUUUAAUGCCCACUUUUUAGAGACAGGGGUAGCUGCAGCCUGGAGCAAUGGGCGUGCCGAAAGGUAGGGGCGUGCCAAAAGGUAGGGGCGUGCCAAAAGGUAGGGGCAUGCCAAAAGGUUUCUCAUUGGUGAAAGGAGUUUUACUGUGUUGGCCAAUCAGCGGUAAAUAUACAUUUACGUAAUUUCCUUUAGACAAGAGAAGGUGGCGGCGAUAAGUCGUGGUGUAAUAAUUAUUCAUCAUACGUUUAUCUAUACUUUAUAUACCACAAAUAUGUAUAUUAAGAUAGCAUGUUACAAUACGAUCAUAAUUUUUCCUUUGCGUUAUAUCUUGCAGCAGUAAUUAGUUUAUUGUUGUUGACAGACAUACUGUAUGUACAGUGAGACAAAACGAUGAGCGCAUCUGCAUCGAAGGUGAAGCUCUCAGAGUUGAUAGUUUGUAUCUGCGUCCUUUUUGUGCAAUACAGUACAGAAUACAUCCUGUGUCCAACUAAUGCAGAGUAUAUUCAAGUUGCUAACACACUGGUUGUGAAGUACCCUUUCCAGAAAAAUAUAAAAGAAAAUGACUGUAUAAGUUGCAUUGUUUUUAAUUCAUGGAUUUAUCUCUAUCAACACAAUCACACACGAUAUUGUAGUAUCAAUAUAUUGUAA